RNAcentral lists this ribosomal RNA (255 nucleotides) under uncultured bacterium. RNAcentral's name for it is "partial 16S ribosomal RNA". It matches the Rfam family "Bacterial small subunit ribosomal RNA", at positions 524 to 777 of the family's 1533-position model. The record is from RNAcentral.
UACGAAGGGGGCUAGCGUUGCUCGGAAUCACUGGGCGUAAAGGGUGCGUAGGUCGGGUCUUUAAGUCAGGGGUGAAAUCCUGGAGCUCAACUCCAGAACUGCCUUUGAUACUGAAGAUCUUGAGUUCGGGAGAGGUGAGUGGAACUGCGAGUGUAGAGGUGAAAUUCGUAGAUAUUCGCAAGAACACCAGUGGCGAAGGCGGCUCACUGGCCCGAUACUGACGCUGAGGCACGAAAGCGUGGGGAGCAAACAGGG